RNAcentral lists this long non-coding RNA (922 nucleotides) under Monodelphis domestica (gray short-tailed opossum). RNAcentral describes it as "lncRNA (ENSMODG00000041556.1)". Lineage: Eukaryota; Metazoa; Chordata; Mammalia; Didelphimorphia; Didelphidae. The record is from RNAcentral.
CAUAUUUGCAAUGAAGAAAAAUAUGAGUUAGAGCUCUAAAAACAUUUGGAAAAUGCUGCUUCUGAUGAAGGGAGCUGACAUUCUUGCUCUUGAGUGUUUACAAAAUGCUUACCGUACAACAAAUCCAUGAGUUAGAAGUGUCCGGAUGUUUAUCCCAAUUUUACAGAUGAAGAAAUUGAGGCUUAAAGAGGAUAAGUAUCUUAAGACCAUGAUCUCACAACUAGGAACUGAAAGAAGUAGAUCCUCAAAACAUAAUUUUGGCUUAAGAAAUUCUUAAAAUACAAGUUGAGAGUGCCUGCACAUUUUUUGAAGUUUUAAAAGAUGAAUUAGGUUUUAGAGUGUAACAGACAUAUCCAAUAGCAAGGACUCCAUUUCCCAGGAGACUAUGUAUCCAGAGGACCAACAUUUUUGGAAGGGGAACAAGGGCUCUUGGAGGAAGAAGGCGACCAGCAGGUUUGACCUGUUUUCAAGUCACUACUCUCUAGAGACUACAGUCCUUCUAAGAUGUCCCAUAAGUGAAGAUUUAUAGAACCUGAAGAAUGUUUCACAAGAGUAGUAUGUGCAAAUGGCCAUACCAUAGAGAAUUUCAUCGGCUUAUUUGGCACUUAUAUUAUUAAAAAUAAUAGUUCACCUUUUUAUGCUUUGCAGUUUACAGAGCACUUCCUUAAAUCCUUUGAAGUAAUCCUGUUUUGUUCUUGCUGGAGAUAAUCUAUGAUUUCAUUUCAUAAAUGUGGAGCAGUCUCAAGUGAAAAAACUUUCUCUACAAAUGCUAAUUAGUAUCUGCUCUGGAAUUUAAGGGUCUUAGCAAGUUGUCUGGAGCACUAAGAGAUUAAGUGACUUGCCAAGGGUCACACAGGCAGUAUAUGUCAGAGGCUGGCCUUGUGGGCUCAAUCCCAAGUGUUCUUCACUGUAAGGCUUCCAC